RNAcentral lists this ribosomal RNA (719 nucleotides) under uncultured Bacilli bacterium. Its description in RNAcentral is "bacterial SSU rRNA". It matches the Rfam family "Bacterial small subunit ribosomal RNA", at positions 64 to 753 of the family's 1533-position model. Lineage: Bacteria; Bacillati; Bacillota; Bacilli. The record is from RNAcentral.
AACUGAUUGAACGUGCUUGCACGGACUUGACGUUGGUUUACCAGCGAGUGGCGGACGGGUGAGUAACACGUAGGUAACCUGCCCCAAAGCGGGGGAUAACAUUUGGAAACAGAUGCUAAUACCGCAUAACAAUUUGAAUCGCAUGAUUCAAAUUUAAAAGAUGGCUUCGGCUAUCACUUUGGGAUGGACCUGCGGCGCAUUAGCUUGUUGGUAGGGUAACGGCCUACCAAGGCUGUGAUGCGUAGCCGAGUUGAGAGACUGAUCGGCCACAAUGGAACUGAGACACGGUCCAUACUCCUACGGGAGGCAGCAGUAGGGAAUCUUCCACAAUGGGCGCAAGCCUGAUGGAGCAACACCGCGUGAGUGAAGAAGGGUUUCGGCUCGUAAAGCUCUGUUGUUAGAGAAGAACGUGCGUGAGAGCAACUGUUCACGCAGUGACGGUAUCUAACCAGAAAGUCACGGCUAACUACGUGCCAGCAGCCGCGGUAAUACGUAGGUGGCAAGCGUUAUCCGGAUUUAUUGGGCGUAAAGCGAGCGCAGGCGGUUUGAUAAGUCUGAUGUGAAAGCCUUUGGCUUAACCAAAGAAGUGCAUCGGAAACUGUCAGACUUGAGUGCAGAAGAGGACAGUGGAACUCCAUGUGUAGCGGUGGAAUGCGUAGAUAUAUGGAAGAACACCAGUGGCGCAGGCGGCUGUCUGGUCUGCAACUGACGCUGAGGCU